GCCCAGGUGGCGAAAUAGGUAGACGCAAGGGACUCAAAAUCCCUCGCCAGCGAUGGCGUGCCGGUUCGAGUCCGGCUCUGGGCACCA
RNAcentral lists this transfer RNA (87 nucleotides) under Caldimonas brevitalea. RNAcentral's name for it is "[Polyangium] brachysporum tRNA-Leu". It matches the Rfam family "tRNA". Rfam says of the family: Transfer RNA (tRNA) molecules are approximately 80 nucleotides in length. Their secondary structure includes four short double-helical elements and three loops (D, anti-codon, and T loops). Lineage: Bacteria; Pseudomonadati; Pseudomonadota; Betaproteobacteria; Burkholderiales; Sphaerotilaceae. The record is from RNAcentral. RNAcentral also lists the same sequence under 1 other name.